CGUAUCACUUAAAGCGAUUCAGCGGGUUACGAUUGACGGAGCGAAGCGACGUCAAAGCGUAUACAAAGUCGAGUCGGUUUAAGGAUACGUUCGUUGGGUAGGGGAGCGUUCUGUAAGCCUGUGAAGGUGUGUCGUGAGGCAUGCUGGAGGUAUCAGAAGUGCGAAUGCUGACAUAAGUAACGAUAAAGCGGGUGAAAAGCCCGCUCGCCGGAAGACCAAGGGUUCCUGUCCAACGUUAAUCGGGGCAGGGUGAGUCGACCCCUAAGGCGAGGCCGAAAGGCGUAGUCGAUGGGAAACGGGUUAAUAUUCCCGUACUUGGUGUUACUGCGAAGGGGGGACGGAGAAGGCUAUGUUGGCCGGGCGACGGUUGUCCCGGUUUAAGCGUGUAGGCUGGUUUUCCAGGCAAAUCCGGAAAAUCAAGGCUGAGGCGUGACGACGAGGCACUACGGUGCUGAAGCAACAAAUGCCCUGCUUCCAGGAAAAGCCUCUAAGCAUCAGGUAACAUCAAAUCGUACCCCAAACCGACACAGGUGGUCAGGUAGAGAAUACCAAGGCGCUUGAGAGAACUCGGGUGAAGGAACUAGGCAAAAUGGUGCCGUAACUUCGGGAGAAGGCACGCUGACACGUAGGUGAAGUGAUUUACUCAUGGAGCUGAAGUCAGUCGAAGAUACCAGCUGGCUGCAACUGUUUAUUAAAAACACAGCACUGUGCAAACACGAAAGUGGACGUAUACGGUGUGACGCCUGCCCGGUGCCGGAAGGUUAAUUGAUGGGGUCAGCGCAAGCGAAGCUCCUGAUCGAAGCCCCGGUAAACGGCGGCCGUAACUAUAACGGUCCUAAGGUAGCGAAAUUCCUUGUCGGGUAAGUUCCGACCUGCACGAAUGGCGUAAUGAUGGCCAGGCUGUCUCCACCCGAGACUCAGUGAAAUUGAACUCGCUGUGAAGAUGCAGUGUACCCGCGGCAAGACGGAAAGACCCCGUGAACCUUUACUAUAGCUUGACACUGAACAUUGAGCCUUGAUGUGUAGGAUAGGUGGGAGGCUUUGAAGUGUGGACGCCAGUCUGCAUGGAGCCGACCUUGAAAUACCACCCUUUAAUGUUU
RNAcentral lists this ribosomal RNA (1100 nucleotides) under Salmonella enterica. RNAcentral describes it as "partial 23S ribosomal RNA". It matches the Rfam family "Bacterial large subunit ribosomal RNA", at positions 1154 to 2215 of the family's 2925-position model. The record is from RNAcentral. RNAcentral also lists the same sequence under 1 other name. Lineage: Bacteria; Pseudomonadati; Pseudomonadota; Gammaproteobacteria; Enterobacterales; Enterobacteriaceae.